Molecule: ribosomal RNA, 882 nt
Filed under: uncultured bacterium
Lineage: Bacteria
Description: bacterial SSU rRNA
Rfam family: Bacterial small subunit ribosomal RNA
Source: RNAcentral
AUUGAACGCUGGCGGCACGCCUAACACAUGCAAGUCGAACGGCAGCACAGGGGAGCUUGCUCCCUGGGUGGCGAGUGGCGGACGGGUGAGUAACGCGUAGGAAUCUGCCCUAAAGUGGGGGAUAACUCGGGGAAACUCGAGCUAAUACCGCAUAAUCCCUAAGGGGAAAAGAGGGGGACCAGAAAUGGCCUCUCGCUUUUGGAUGAGCCUGCGUCAGAUUAGCUUGUUGGUAGGGUAAUGGCCUACCAAGGCGACGAUCUGUAGCUGGUCUGAGAGGACGGCCAGCCACACUGGGACUGAGAUACGGCCCAGACUCCUACGGGAGGCAGCAGUGGGGAAUAUUGGACAAUGGGGGCAACCCUGAUCCAGCGAUGCCGCGUGUGUGAAGAAGGCCUGCGGGUUGUAAAGCACUUUAGUUGGGAAAGAACGGGUUUAGGCUAAUACCUUAAACCUUUGACGUUACCCAAAGAAUAAGCACCGGCUAACUCUGUGCCAGCAGCCGCGGUAAUACAGAGGGUGCAAGCGUUAAUCGGAAUUACUGGGCGUAAAGGGCGCGUAGGUGGUUUGGUAAGUUAGGUGUGAAAUCCCCGGGCUUAACCUGGGAACUGCAUUUAAUACUGUCAAACUUGAGUAGAGUAGAGGAAAGUGGAAUUUCCGGUGUAGCGGUGAAAUGCGUAGAUAUCGGAAGGAACACCAGUGGCGAAGGCGACUUUCUGGACUCAUACUGACACUGAGGCGCGAAAGCGUGGGGAGCAAACAGGAUUAGAUACCCUGGUAGUCCACGCCGUAAACGAUGAGAACUGGAGGUUGGGACGCAAUAGCGUCUUAGUCUCGUAGCUAACGCGAUAAGUUCUCCGCCUGGGAAGUACGGCCGCAAGGUUA